This 381-nucleotide ribosomal RNA is filed under the name Triticum aestivum (bread wheat). RNAcentral describes it as "partial small subunit ribosomal RNA". The record is from RNAcentral. Lineage: Eukaryota; Viridiplantae; Streptophyta; Magnoliopsida; Poales; Poaceae.
GGGGCCAAGUGUAAGGUUAACUGGGGAUUAGUCUGUCAGCCGACUGACAUCGGAGGGCUUGGCGUCCUGGACUUGGCUAAGUUUGCGAGAGCCCUACGGCUUAGAUGGCUGUGGUUCGAGUGGACUGAACAUUCCAAGACGUGGAUUGGAAUGGACAACCCUUGUGAUGAGCUUGACCGUGAUCUAUUCUACGCUUCGACGCGCAUCACCAUUGGCAACGGGGCAUGUGCACCAUUUUGGGACUCCCCAUGGGUUAAUGGCGAGAAACCUUCCGUCAUAGCACCUCUCAUCUUCGAGGCUUCCACGAGGAAGAAGUGGAAGGUACAGGAGGCCAUGCACGCGGAUGCGUGGCUGUCCAAAAUCAAGCUCCCCAACAACUAG